CUAAAAGACACUAGGGAGUCGGAUGUUCAGUUUUUCCGUCUAUGAGUGAAACUAAACUUGGGACUGAAAGGGAGAAGAUUAGCAACUGUGGAAGAAAACCAUGAAGAAUCGCAGCAGGCUCUGGACAUGGUGACAAAAGAUGAUUACAGGAAAUGUUUCCAGGACUGAUAGAAGCGCUGGGACAAGGGUACCAUAUCUCAAGGAGAGUACUUUGAGAUUACAAAAGGCACUGCACAGAUCACUGAAGCAAGCAGUGGAGACGAGGUGGAAUACCAGACUUGCAAUGCUCCAAUAUGUAAGAGAUACUCUGAAGUCUGGUAAGCUGCAUGAGGUCCAGCUUCACCAAAACAAGCUCCAUUAUGUCAACAACAUAGAUCCAGACCUUCUUGAAGACCUCAUCCACCUCUUGGAACCUUUCGAUGAGGCUACCAGGCACCUCUCCACUGAUCAGACACCCACUCUCCACCUCAUCCUCCCGAUCAAGGCAACCCUGCUGAGGGGAUUGUUGCUUUGGGAUGGAGACAGUGUGAUUGUGAAAGAGGUAAUAUAAUACAGUGCUGAUUUGAAUUGUUUUGUAGGUGGUCAUUCAAGUAGCUAACAGCAGCUGGGCCCUAUCCAGUAAUAAUGUUGCAUAUAUCAUCUGAUUUUUUUUUCUCCUGCCUGAAAGAGUUGAAAUUGAAAAUCCACCUUUACCACAAGAUCGCCACAACUCUCUCUCUCCUAGCCUGAAAUAUUUCUGAAGAAAAACUCUCAAUGCUGAGGGGUAUGAGGAGAUCCACUCCCAAUGGCCACAGAAGUGCACAACUUCUUCGCAAGUUGUGUGCAGGAGAAUGAGAGGGAGAAAGACAGUGGUGAUACUAUUAAGGAGUCAUGGGUCCGCCAAUUGCUGCUAAAAUAUAUGAACGAGCCUACAGAGACAAUCUGCUCCCAGUCCCUUCUCAACUUCUGGCAGGAGAUGUUAGGUGGACUAGUGCCUGUUGCCAGGAGGCUGCUGGCAAUCCCAGCAACAAGUACCUUGUCAGAGAGGAGUUUCAGUGUUGCUGGGAGACUAAUUGAGGAAAGGCGUACCACCCUCAAUCCAGAAAAUGUGGACACAGUUUUGUUCCUGCACAGCAACAUAUAAACUCCCUGGACUCAUUGUGCAAGUGUUAGCUGGUUCUGAUAGAUAGCGCUAGCCCUAAGUUUCCUGGCAGUGUUUUUAAUGUUUGGAUAAAACCUUCUAUAUUUGUCAGGCCACCCUCUGGGGUAUGUUGAGGGUACAGUCUUUCUGCACUUGUUUUAAAAUUUUUUGGGAGGUUGAAAAGUUCCUCAUAAAAAUA
Long non-coding RNA from Thunnus maccoyii (southern bluefin tuna), 1319 nucleotides. RefSeq lists it as uncharacterized. Lineage: Eukaryota; Metazoa; Chordata; Actinopteri; Scombriformes; Scombridae. The transcript has 4 exons. The record is from RefSeq and is a predicted model, not a curated record.